CCGGCGCACGGGUGAGUAACGCGUAUGCAACUUGCCUAUCAGGAGGGGGAUAACCCGGCGAAAGUCGGACUAAUACCGCAUGAAGCAGGGGCCCCGCAUGGGGAUAUUUGCUAAAGAUUCAUCGCUGAUAGAUAGGCAUGCGUUCCAUUAGGCAGUUGGCGGGGUAACGGCCCACCAAACCGACGAUGGAUAGGGGUUCUGAGAGGAAGGUCCCCCACAUUGGUACUGAGACACGGACCAAACUCCUACGGGAGGCAGCAG
RNAcentral lists this ribosomal RNA (261 nucleotides) under uncultured bacterium. RNAcentral's name for it is "partial 16S ribosomal RNA". It matches the Rfam family "Bacterial small subunit ribosomal RNA", at positions 95 to 354 of the family's 1533-position model. The record is from RNAcentral.